UUUUCAUUGUAAGGUCCACUAAAAGUGUAAAUUGUAUAAAAAAAUUAUUGCAGUGAAGGUGUAAUUUUCAGAAAUUCUGUCGAUCUUGGUCUCCGGCUCUGUCGAUCUUGAUCUUGGUCUGUCGAUCUGUCGAUCUGUCGUCUCUUCUCUGUCGAUCUCCGUCUCUCUCUCUCUGUCGAUCUCCGUCGAUCUCGGUCUGUCUCUCUCUGUCGAUCGCCCUCCCAAACGAUCUCCGUCGAUGUCGGUCUGUCUUUCAAACACAACUUGAUUUUUCCCUUUUAAUUCUUUUCAGGGUGUAUUUACUGGACACUGUGGGACAAACCUUGACCACGGUGUUGUUGCUGUUGGAUACGGUACAGAAGAUGGUGUAGAUUACUGGGGUGUAUUUACUGGACACUGUGGGACAAACCUUGACCACGGUGUUGUUGCUGUUGGAUAUGGUACAGAAGAUGGUGUAGAUUACUGGGUUGUGAGGAACUCUUGGGGUUCAAACUGGGGAGAAAACGGGUACAUAAGGUUGGAGCGCAACAUCAAUUCCAUUGGUGGCAAGUGUGGGAUUGCUCAAAUGGCCUCAUACC
Camellia sinensis is the source of this 578-nucleotide non-coding RNA. The record is from RefSeq and is a predicted model, not a curated record. NCBI's taxonomy places the organism in Eukaryota, Viridiplantae, Streptophyta, Magnoliopsida, Ericales, Theaceae.